This is a long non-coding RNA of Pogoniulus pusillus (Red-fronted tinkerbird), 1364 nucleotides long. RefSeq lists it as uncharacterized. NCBI's taxonomy places the organism in Eukaryota, Metazoa, Chordata, Aves, Piciformes, Lybiidae. The record is from RefSeq and is a predicted model, not a curated record. The transcript is spliced from 2 exons.
GGUCACAGAGGGGGAAGGGUCAUAGAAGUUGUACUCCAGCAGCUUCCUGUGGUGUCUCUGCCUCCUCGUUUUGGUUGUACAAGUGGAAGGUCCCCAUUGGUUUGCUGACAGGGUUCUUCCUGCCGUGGUCCUCAGUCCUUGAUCUGAAAGGGACACCAGGUGAAGAUGGCAGUAAGGGGACACCAAGUUCUCUGAGAAGAUGGCAUUGAGGGGACACCAGCUCCUGAGAAGGUGGCAUUGAGGGGACACCAGCUCCUCUGAGAAGAUGGCAUUGAGAGGACACCAGCUCCUCUGAGAAGAUGGCAUUGAGGGGACACCAGCUCCUCUGAGAAGGUGGCAUUGAGGGGACACCAGCUCCUCUGAGAAGAUGGCAUUGAGAGGACACCAGCUCCUCUGAGAAGAUGGCAUUGAGGGGACACCAGCUCCUCUGAGAAGAUGGCAUUGAGGGGACACCAGCUCCUCUGAGAAGAUGGCACUGAGGGGACACCAGCUCCUCUGAGAAGAUGGCAUUGAGGGGACACCAGCUCCUGAGAAGAUGGCAUUGAGAGGACACCAGCUCCUGAGAAGAUGGCAUUGAGGGGACACCAGCUCCUGAGAAGAUGGCAUUGAGGGGACACCAGCUCCUCUGAGAAGAUGGCAUUGAGAGGACACCAGCUCCUCUGAGAAGAUGGCAUUUAACCCCCUGUAGUUUUUAUCCAUGACCUUGAGACUUUUCUAUCCUAAGUUACGACCUUUCCAUAUGAGGUUCUUUAAACCUGGGGUGUUGGCCUGGGCUGGAUUUGACCUGCAGCCCAGGGCAGACAAACCAGGCUGCCACAAAUCUGCUGCUGCUGCAAGCAGAGACAGGGAGAACAAAUGUUUGUUUCUUCAGGUGUCCUUAAGUGCAGGUAUUUAGGGAAGAAGCUUCUUUGUCUCGAUUGUUUUCACUGCAUCUUGGGCUAGAGCUCUUCAGAUGUGUCUUUAGUGUCACUUAGACCUUAGCAGUCUUGGCUCAAGAAGCCUGAAGCACACUCUAAGGGUGCCUGGUGUCCUGCUCUCUCAGUUCAUUCUGCCCACUCCUCUUCAGUUGUUUUACAGUCCAAGUUGGGAGCUGCCAAUCAGACGAGUUGGGAAUUCUGACUCUGCUGGAUUCCAGAGCCAGAUUCCCAGGUGAAGCUCAAUGUGAGCUGUGCAGAGGAAACAGCUCUGCAAUCCCUUUUGGAAGCAGCUGGAGAUGGAUUUGUUACAUCUGCACACAAAGGGCAGUGCUGUUGGUGGAAGUGACUGGAACUCUGCAGCUGCAGUCGGGAGCAUUCUGCAGCUUCCCCCCCCCUUUAUUCCUGCAUUGUCUAGAAAAUAAAACUCCUCUGAGAGGGUUACUUUGA